ACUUCCUGACGGCGUGCCUUUUGUAGGAUGAGCCUGUGAGUUACGAUAGCGAGCGAGGUUAAGGCAUGGGAGUGCCGGAGCCGGAGGGAAACCGAGUCUUAAUAGGGCGAGUUAGUUCGUUAUCGUAGACCCGAAGCCAGGUGAUCUUAUUACGGCCAGGCUGAAGCUCAGGUAACACUGAGUGGAGGGCCGAACUCUAGUGUGAUGAAAGACGCAGGGAUGAGCUGUGAUAAGGGGUGAAAGGCUAAACAAACCUGGAAAUAGCUGGCACUCCCCGAAAUGCCUUGAGGGACAGCCUCAUACGCCUAUCAUGGAGGUAGAGCACUGUUUGGACUAGGGGUCUUCACCGGCUACCAAACCCAGGCAAACUGCGAAUGCCGUGACAGAAGGUAUGGGAGUGAGACGGCGGGCGAUAAAGUUCGUCGUCGAGAGGGGAACAGCCCGGACCGACAGCUAAGGUCCCUAAAUGCCGCUGAGUGUGAAAUGAGGUGCUAUUGCGAAGACAGCCAGGAGGUUGGCUUAGAAGCAGCAAUUCCUUAAAAGAGUGCGUAACAGCUCACUGGUCGAGCAAUGGUGCGCAGAAAAUGUAACGGGGCUAAGCGGUAUACCGAAGCUUCGGAUUCUAUGUAUAAAGCAUAGGAUGGUAGGGGAGCAUUCCAUGGACCGCAGAAGGUACACUGAGAGGUGUGCUGGAGGGGAUGGAAGAGAGAAUGCAGGUAUAAGUACACGAAAAGACGGGUGAGAUUCCCGUCCGCCGAAAACCUAAGGUUUCCUGGGUAAAGGUCAUCUGCCCAGGGUUAGUCGGUCUCUAAGAUGAGGCGGAAGCGCGUAGUCGAUGAGAAUUCGGUUCAUAUUCCGGAACCAUAUAUAAGUUCGAAGGGAUGACGCAUGAGGUGGAGCACUGCCGGCUGACGGAAUAGCCGGUUUACUUAGCGAGCCUAUGAGGUAGCGAGGGAAAACCAGCUACUGAGGUGAGCUAAGGAGGGAGAGAAGCUACGGUGGAACGAAGAGUGUCGAAUCAAGGUGCCAAGAAAGAGUCUCUAAGGACAACUUAUAUAUGACCGUACCGUAAACGGACACACGUAGGUAGGAUGAGAAAUCUAAGGCGCUCGAGAUAACUCGCGUUAAGGAACUCGGCAAAGUGCACACGUAACUUCGGGAGAAGUGUGGCCUGAGCGAUCAGGUUGCAGAUAAUAGGCCCAGGCGACUGUUUACCAAAAACACAGGCUCUGCGAACGCGCAAGCGGAAGUAUAGGGUCUGACGCCUGCCCGGUGCUGGAAGGUUAAGAGGAGGGGUUAGCGGGAAACUGCGAAGCUCUGAAUUGAAGCCCCAGUAAACGGCGGCCGUAACUAUAACGGUCCUAAGGUAGCGAAAUUCCUUGUCU
RNAcentral lists this ribosomal RNA (1385 nucleotides) under metagenome. Its description in RNAcentral is "bacterial LSU rRNA". It matches the Rfam family "Bacterial large subunit ribosomal RNA", at positions 588 to 1974 of the family's 2925-position model. The record is from RNAcentral.